CCGAGUGUGUGUGGGGCGUGUUGCACAUUGUGCCUGCCAGGCCACAUCUUUACACGGCAGCCACUCUGCCUUCCUGCCUGCGUGGGUGGCCUCACAAUGGGGUUUGUUUCCCUUCUGUGGUGUCCAGUGAUAUUGCCAGGCAACCGUCAUAUUUCUGUAAAGUCUGUAGUAAAUGGUUUUGCUUUGAGCCUUUCGAACAGCAGAUAUAUAAGUUAUCCAUGUACAAAAAAACGACAGUAUGUAAUACAUGGUUCUUUAUACAUUUUUGUGAAUUAAUUUUGUUGUUAUUGUUCACCAAGGCCUGAUAGUUUUGCGGUAGAAUGCACCUUCAUUCUUAUGUAACACAGCAUUAGACGAUAGUGCUUUAGCGUUGGGCGCUAUUGUUUCCUUGCGGCGCGUGCAAACAUACACCUUGUUUGGCCACGGUGCUGGGCUCUGAGUGGGUAAUAAGAGGUGAAAGGUGAUGAUGAAAUGCGACCACGCCUCGUACCUGUCGAACACCUGCGUCUGUUACUGACAGUUCUGAAUACGCGUCCGUUAUAACCACACGUGCGAGCUGGACACCAUCGAACCUAUACAUUACAUUGUACAUUCAGAGCAGAUGCACAGCACAAACAGACCUUUAGGAGUCUGUGAUGUCAAAGCUAAAGGACUGCAGCCGGGUGGCGCCUUCACUGGAGGUGAGCAGGCCAUCCACUCCGCUGCCAGGCAUUGGAGGAGAAAGCCAUACGGAGCACGCUGAUGGGGGCCUCAAAAAGACAAGCAGCUUCACAGGGAAGAGGAGCCGAAUCACCAACGCCACCCUGCCCGAGGAGAAGGAAGCAGUUAAAGCCUGGAUAAGCCAGAAUAUCAAAAUGAAGGUGUGCUUCUGGUACAUCGAGUCUUCGACAGCUGGG
Non-coding RNA from Petromyzon marinus (sea lamprey), 896 nucleotides. NCBI's taxonomy places the organism in Eukaryota, Metazoa, Chordata, Hyperoartia, Petromyzontiformes, Petromyzontidae. The record is from RefSeq and is a predicted model, not a curated record.